This 72-nucleotide transfer RNA is filed under the name Stereum hirsutum FP-91666 SS1. Its description in RNAcentral is "tRNA-Trp (CCA) (tRNA-Trp-CCA-8-1)". It matches the Rfam family "tRNA". From Rfam's summary of the family: Transfer RNA (tRNA) molecules are approximately 80 nucleotides in length. Their secondary structure includes four short double-helical elements and three loops (D, anti-codon, and T loops). Lineage: Eukaryota; Fungi; Basidiomycota; Agaricomycetes; Russulales; Stereaceae. The record is from RNAcentral.
AGCUCGGUAGCGUGAUGGUACCGCGUCUGUCCCCAAUACAGAUAGUUCUGGGUUCGACUCCGAGUCGAGCUA